CUUCUAAUGCGGCCUAUUGUCGGUCUCAAGCCCGAAGAAAAAGUGAGGCAGAGAGAAAG
Molecule: non-coding RNA, 59 nt
Filed under: Nasonia vitripennis (jewel wasp)
Lineage: Eukaryota; Metazoa; Arthropoda; Insecta; Hymenoptera; Pteromalidae
Source: RNAcentral